Molecule: ribosomal RNA, 1477 nt
Filed under: uncultured Bordetella sp.
Lineage: Bacteria; Pseudomonadati; Pseudomonadota; Betaproteobacteria; Burkholderiales; Alcaligenaceae
Description: partial 16S-23S ribosomal RNA intergenic spacer
Rfam family: Bacterial small subunit ribosomal RNA
Source: RNAcentral
AGUUCGAUUAUAAGCUCAGAUUGAACGCUGGCGGGAUGGCACAUGCAAGUCGAACGGCAGCACGGACUGGUCUGGUGGCGAGUGGCGAACGGGUGAGUAAUGUAUCCGGAACGUGCCUAGUGGCGAAGACGCUACGCCAGCUAAUACACAUACGCCCUUCGAAGCCAGGGACCUUCGGGCCUCACUAUUAAAACGGCAAGUAUCGGAUUAGCUAGUUGGUGCAGGUAACGGCUCACCAAGGCGACGAUCCGUAGCUGGCGGUUUGAGAGGACGUCAGCCACACUGGGACUGAGACGGCCCAGACUCUACGAGGCAGCGGUAGAAUUUUGGACAAUGGAAACCUGAUCAGCCAUCCCGCGUGUGCGAUGAAGGCCUUCGGGUUGUAAAGCACUUUUGGCAGGAAAAACGGCACGGGAUAAUGCCCGUGCAGCUGACGGUACCUGCAGAAUAGCACCGGCUAACUACGUGCCAACAGCCGCGGUAAUACGUAGGGUGCAAGCGUUAAUCGGAAUUACUGGGCGUAAAGCGUGCGCAGGCAGUUUCGGAAAGAAGAUGUGAAAUCCCAGAGCUUAACUUUGGAACUGCAUUUUUAACUUUACCGAGCUAGAGUGUGUCAGAGGAGGUGGAAUUCGCGAUGUAGCAGUGAAAUGCGUAGAUAUGCGGAGGAACAUGAUGGCGAAGGCAGCCUCCUGGGAUAACACUGACGCUCAUGCACGAAAAGCGUGGGAGCAAACAGGAUUAGAUACCCUGGUAGUCCGCUACAAACGAUGUCAACUAGCUGUUGGGGCCUUCGGGCCUUGGUAGCGCAACUAACGCGUGAGAUUAGAACCGCCUGAGAAAGUACGGUCGCAAGAUUAAAACUCAAAAGGAAUUGACGGGGACCGCACAAGCGUGGAUGAUGUGAUUAAUUCGAUGCAACGCGAAAAAAGCCUUUACCUACCCUUGACGCUGUCUGGAAUCCCGAAGAGAUUUGGGAGUGCUCGCAAAGAGAACCUUCCCGGAACCCACAGGUGCUGCGCGUGGCUGUCGGUAAACCAUUGUCGUGAGAUGUUGGGUUAAGUCCGCAACGAGCGCAGCCCUUGUCAUUAGUUGCUACGAAGGGCACUCUAAUGAGACUGCCGGUGACAAACCGGAGGAAGGUGGGGAUGACGUCAAGUCCUCAUGGCCCUUAUGGGUAGGGCUUCACACGUCAUACAAUGGUCCGCACCGGGACAGAGAUAGCCAACCCCCGCAGGGAGAGGCCAAUCCCAGAAACCCGGUCGUAGUCCGGAUCGCAGUCUGCAACUCGACUGCGUGAAGUCGGAAUCGCUAUUAAUCGCGGAUCAGCAUGUCGCGGUGAAUACGUUCCCGGGUCUUGUACACACCACCGCCCGUCGCACACCAUGGAGGUGGGUUUUACCAGAAGUAGUUAGCCUAACCGUAAGGAGAACGAUUACUAAAUUGAUUCGCUGACUGGGGUGAAGUCGUAACAAGGUAA